Molecule: small RNA, 22 nt
Filed under: Arabidopsis thaliana (thale cress)
Lineage: Eukaryota; Viridiplantae; Streptophyta; Magnoliopsida; Brassicales; Brassicaceae
Description: ATSL064020
Source: RNAcentral
UAUCUUCUUCUUUUUUGUUUGU